RNAcentral lists this ribosomal RNA (500 nucleotides) under uncultured Glomeromycotina. Its description in RNAcentral is "partial small subunit ribosomal RNA". It matches the Rfam family "Eukaryotic small subunit ribosomal RNA", at positions 591 to 1092 of the family's 1831-position model. Lineage: Eukaryota; Fungi; Glomeromycota. The record is from RNAcentral.
CCAAUAGCGUAUAUUAAAGUUGUUGCAGUUAAAAAGCUCGUAGUUGAAUUUCGGGGUCAGUAGGUUGGUCAUGCCACUGGUAUGUACUGGUCUCACUGAUUCCUCCUUCCUGAUGAGCUGUAAUGCCAUUAAUUUGGUGUUGCGGGGAAUCUGGACUGUUACUUUGAAAAAAUUAGAGUGUUUAAAGCAGGCUAACGCCUGAAUAAAUUAGCAUGGAAUAAUGAAAUAGGACGUUCGAUCCUAUUUUGUUGGUUUCUAGGAUUGACGUAAUGAUUAAUAGGGAUAGUUGGGGGCAUUAGUAUUCAAUUGUCAGAGGUGAAAUUCUUGGAUUUAUUGAAGACUAACUACUGCGAAAGCAUUUGCCAAGGAUGUUUUCAUUAAUCAAGAACGAAAGUUAGGGGAUCGAAGACGAUCAGAUACCGUCGUAGUCUUAACCAUAAACUAUGCCGACUAGGGAUCGGAUGAUGUUAAUUUUUUAAUGACUCAUUCGGCGCCUUACG